RNAcentral lists this transfer RNA (90 nucleotides) under Alphaproteobacteria bacterium CG11_big_fil_rev_8_21_14_0_20_44_7. RNAcentral's name for it is "tRNA-Ser". It matches the Rfam family "tRNA". Rfam says of the family: Transfer RNA (tRNA) molecules are approximately 80 nucleotides in length. Their secondary structure includes four short double-helical elements and three loops (D, anti-codon, and T loops). The record is from RNAcentral. Lineage: Bacteria; Pseudomonadati; Pseudomonadota; Alphaproteobacteria.
GGACAGGUGGCCGAGUGGCUGAAGGCGCACGCUUGGAAAGCGUGUUUACUAGCAAUAGUAACGCGGGUUCGAAUCCCGCUCUGUCCGCCA